UCAAUCUCCAUCACGGACCGCGAUUCUUCUGUACUCGGGUGUUUUAGAACUUCAAAGAGGACGCCUUUGGGCAAUUCGGUCGGAGCCGACGUCACCAGCUUGGAGAGAAGGUCAGCCCUGGUAUUUUCCAACCUUGGGAUCUGUCUAAUGUUGAAGCUGCUAAAGGCAGGGGUGAGCUCCUUUACCUUCUCAAGGUAUUUGGCCAUACUGUCCUCCCGCGCUUCGUAACUCCCGCUGACCUGCCCCACC
This 249-nucleotide long non-coding RNA is filed under the name Elaeis guineensis (African oil palm). RNAcentral's name for it is "long non-coding RNA (EGUI_LNC036197)". The record is from RNAcentral. Lineage: Eukaryota; Viridiplantae; Streptophyta; Magnoliopsida; Arecales; Arecaceae.